This 73-nucleotide transfer RNA is filed under the name Schistocephalus solidus. It matches the Rfam family "tRNA". From Rfam's summary of the family: Transfer RNA (tRNA) molecules are approximately 80 nucleotides in length. The record is from Rfam by way of RNAcentral. Lineage: Eukaryota; Metazoa; Platyhelminthes; Cestoda; Diphyllobothriidea; Diphyllobothriidae.
ACAUUGCCGGCUCAAUAGUUAGAGCGAUGGACUUCUGAUCAAUGGGUCACGAGUUCGAGCCUCGGGUGAUGCA